CAAAGGUUUGGUCCUGACUUUACUAUCAGUUUUAGCCCAAUUUACACAUGCAAGCCUCCCCAACCCUGUGAGAAUGCCCUCAGCUUUCCCGCCCGGAGACGAGGAGCUGGCAUCAGGCACAACACCUAACAAGCCCAAGACGCCUUGCUUAGCCACACCCCCAAGGGAACUCAGCAGUGAUAGACAUUAAGCCAUGAGUGAAAACUUGACUUAGUUAGGGCUAAGAGGGUCGGUAAAACUCGUGCCAGCCACCGCGGUUAUACGAGAGACCCAAACUGAUUAAACUCGGCGUAAAGAGUGGUUAUGGAAAACACAAUACUAAAGCUGAAGACCCCCUAAGCCGUUAUACGCAUUUGGUGACUCGAAUCUCUAAUACGAAAGUAGCUUUAUUUCAUCCAACCAGAACCCACGACAGCUAGGCCACAAACUGGGAUUAGAUACCCCACUAUGCCCUGCCGUAAACUUAGAUAUUUUCUUACAAUAAAUAUCCGCCUGGGAACUACGAGCGCUAGCUUAAAACCCAAAGGACUUGGCGGUGCUUUAGACCCCCCUAGAGGAGCCUGUUCUAGAACCGAUAACCCCCGUUUGACCUCACUACUUCUUGCUCUCCCCGCCUAUAUACCGCCGUCGCCAGCUUACCCUAUGAAGGCCCCACAGUAAGCAGAAUGGGUAAUACCCAAAACGUCAGGUCGAGGUGUAGCGUACGAAGUAGGAAGAAAUGGGCUACAUUAUCUGAGACAGAUUACUCACGAAAGGCUACCUGAAACAGAUAGCCUGAAGGCGGAUUUAGCAGUAAGGAAAGAGCAGAGCGCUUUCCUGAAGUCGGCUCUGAAGCGCGCACACACCGCCCGUCACUCUCCCCAACAGUACCCUUAUCUAGUACCUUAACAUAAUAAUAACCGCAAGGGGAGGCAAGUCGUAACAUGGUAAGUGUACCGGAAGGUGCACUUGGAACAAU
This 958-nucleotide non-coding RNA is filed under the name Gudusia chapra (Indian river shad). RNAcentral's name for it is "12S rRNA". It matches the Rfam family "Bacterial small subunit ribosomal RNA". Lineage: Eukaryota; Metazoa; Chordata; Actinopteri; Clupeiformes; Clupeidae. The record is from RNAcentral.